Molecule: ribosomal RNA, 375 nt
Filed under: uncultured Parabacteroides sp.
Lineage: Bacteria; Pseudomonadati; Bacteroidota; Bacteroidia; Bacteroidales; Tannerellaceae
Description: bacterial SSU rRNA
Rfam family: Bacterial small subunit ribosomal RNA
Source: RNAcentral
UGAGGGAAUAUUUGGGUCAAUGGACGAGAGUCUGAACCAGCCAAGUCGCGUGAAGGAAGACGGAUCUAUGGUUUGUAAACUUCUUUAGUGCGGGAACAAAGCGGCGUCGUGACGCCGGAUGAGUGUACCGCAAGAAUAAGCAUCGGCUAACUCCGUGCCAGCAGCCGCGGUAAUACGGAGGAUGCGAGCGUUAUCCGGAUUUAUUGGGUUUAAAGGGAGCGCAGGCUGCGAGGCAAGUCAGCGGUCAAAUGUCGGGGCUCAACCCCGGCCUGCCGUUGAAACUGUCCUGCUAGAGUUCGAGUGAGGUAUGCGGAAUGCGUUGUGUAGCGGUGAAAUGCAUAGAUAUGACGCAGAACUCCGAUUGCGAAGGCAGCA